GGGUUGUGAGGUUAAGCGACUAAGCGUACACGGUGGAUGCCCUGGCAGUCAGAGGCGAUGAAGGACGUGCUAAUCUGCGAUAAGCGUCGGUAAGGUGAUAUGAACCGUUAUAACCGGCGAUUUCCGAAUGGGGAAACCCAGUGUGUUUCGACACACUAUCAUUAACUGAAUCCAUAGGUUAAUGAGGCGAACCGGGGGAACUGAAACAUCUAAGUACCCCGAGGAAAAGAAAUCAACCGAGAUUCCCCCAGUAGCGGCGAGCGAACGGGGAGCAGCCCAGAGCCUGAAUCAGUGUGUGUGUUAGUGGAAGCGUCUGGAAAGGCGCGCGAUACAGGGUGACAGCCCCGUACACAAAAAUGCACAUACUGUGAGCUCGAUGAGUAGGGCGGGACACGUGGUAUCCUGUCUGAAUAUGGGGGGACCAUCCUCCAAGGCUAAAUACUCCUGACUGACCGAUAGUGAACCAGUACCGUGAGGGAAAGGCGAAAAGAACCCCGGCGAGGGGAGUGAAAAAGAACCUGAAACCGUGUACGUACAAGCAGUGGGAGCACGCUUCGGCGUGUGACUGCGUACCUUUUGUAUAAUGGGUCAGCGACUUAUAUUCUGUAGCAAGGUUAACCGAAUAGGGGAGCCGAAGGGAAACCGAGUCUUAACUGGGCGUUAAGUUGCAGGGUAUAGACCCGAAACCCGGUGAUCUAGCCAUGGGCAGGUUGAAGGUUGGGUAACACUAACUGGAGGACCGAACCGACUAAUGUUGAAAAAUUAGCGGAUGACUUGUGGCUGGGGGUGAAAGGCCAAUCAAACCGGGAGAUAGCUGGUUCUCCCCGAAAGCUAUUUAGGUAGCGCCUCGUGAAUUCAUCUCCGGGGGUAGAGCACUGUUUCGGCAAGGGGGUCAUCCCGACUUACCAACCCGAUGCAAACUGCGAAUACCGGAGAAUGUUAUCACGGGAGACACACGGCGGGUGCUAACGUCCGUCGUGAAGAGGGAAACAACCCAGACCGCCAGCUAAGGUCCCAAAGUCAUGGUUAAGUGGGAAACGAUGUGGGAAGGCCCAGACAGCCAGGAUGUUGGCUUAGAAGCAGCCAUCAUUUAAAGAAAGCGUAAUAGCUCACUGGUCGAGUCGGCCUGCGCGGAAGAUGUAACGGGGCUAAACCAUGCACCGAAGCUGCGGCAGCGACACUAUGUGUUGUUGGGUAGGGGAGCGUUCUGUAAGCCUGUGAAGGUGUACUGUGAGGUAUGCUGGAGGUAUCAGAAGUGCGAAUGCUGACAUAAGUAACGAUAAAGCGGGUGAAAAGCCCGCUCGCCGGAAGACCAAGGGUUCCUGUCCAACGUUAAUCGGGGCAGGGUGAGUCGACCCCUAAGGCGAGGCCGAAAGGCGUAGUCGAUGGGAAACAGGUUAAUAUUCCUGUACUUGGUGUUACUGCGAAGGGGGGACGGAGAAGGCUAUGUUGGCCGGGCGACGGUUGUCCCGGUUUAAGCGUGUAGGCUGGUUUUCCAGGCAAAUCCGGAAAAUCAAGGCUGAGGCGUGAUGACGAGGCACUACGGUGCUGAAGCAACAAAUGCCCUGCUUCCAGGAAAAGCCUCUAAGCAUCAGGUAACAUUAAAUCGUACCCCAAACCGACACAGGUGGUCAGGUAGAGAAUACCAAGGCGCUUGAGAGAACUCGGGUGAAGGAACUAGGCAAAAUGGUGCCGUAACUUCGGGAGAAGGCACGCUGAUAUGUAGGUGAAGUCCCUCGCGGAUGGAGCUGAAAUCAGUCGAAGAUACCAGCUGGCUGCAACUGUUUAUUAAAAACACAGCACUGUGCAAACACGAAAGUGGACGUAUACGGUGUGACGCCUGCCCGGUGCCGGAAGGUUAAUUGAUGGGGUUAGCGGUAACGCGAAGCUCUUGAUCGAAGCCCCGGUAAACGGCGGCCGUAACUAUAACGGUCCUAAGGUAGCGAAAUUCCUUGUCGGGUAAGUUCCGACCUGCACGAAUGGCGUAAUGAUGGCCAGGCUGUCUCCACCCGAGACUCAGUGAAAUUGAACUCGCUGUGAAGAUGCAGUGUACCCGCGGCAAGACGGAAAGACCCCGUGAACCUUUACUAUAGCUUGACACUGAACAUUGAGCCUUGAUGUGUAGGAUAGGUGGGAGGCUUUGAAGUGUGGACGCCAGUCUGCAUGGAGCCGACCUUGAAAUACCACCCUUUAAUGUUUGAUGUUCUAACGUUGACCCGUGAUCCGGGUUGCGGACAGUGUCUGGUGGGUAGUUUGACUGGGGCGGUCUCCUCCUAAAGAGUAACGGAGGAGCACGAAGGUUGGCUAAUCCUGGUCGGACAUCAGGAGGUUAGUGCAAUGGCAUAAGCCAGCUUGACUGCGAGCGUGACGGCGCGAGCAGGUGCGAAAGCAGGUCAUAGUGAUCCGGUGGUUCUGAAUGGAAGGGCCAUCGCUCAACGGAUAAAAGGUACUCCGGGGAUAACAGGCUGAUACCGCCCAAGAGUUCAUAUCGACGGCGGUGUUUGGCACCUCGAUGUCGGCUCAUCACAUCCUGGGGCUGAAGUAGGUCCCAAGGGUAUGGCUGUUCGCCAUUUAAAGUGGUACGCGAGCUGGGUUUAGAACGUCGUGAGACAGUUCGGUCCCUAUCUGCCGUGGGCGCUGGAGAACUGAGGGGGGCUGCUCCUAGUACGAGAGGACCGGAGUGGACGCAUCACUGGUGUUCGGGUUGUCAUGCCAAUGGCACUGCCCGGUAGCUAAAUGCGGAAGAGAUAAGUGCUGAAAGCAUCUAAGCACGAAACUUGCCCCGAGAUGAGUUCUCCCUGACUCCUUGAGAGUCCUGAAGGAACGUUGAAGACGACGACGUUGAUAGGCCGGGUGUGUAAGCGCAGCGAUGCGUUGAGCUAACCGGUACUAAUGAACCGUGAGGCUUAACCUUACAACGCCGAAGGUGUUU
RNAcentral lists this ribosomal RNA (2932 nucleotides) under Escherichia coli. Its description in RNAcentral is "bacterial LSU rRNA". It matches the Rfam family "Bacterial large subunit ribosomal RNA". RNAcentral also lists the same sequence under 3 other names. The record is from RNAcentral. Lineage: Bacteria; Pseudomonadati; Pseudomonadota; Gammaproteobacteria; Enterobacterales; Enterobacteriaceae.